Long non-coding RNA from Felis catus (domestic cat), 1559 nucleotides. RefSeq lists it as uncharacterized. The transcript is spliced from 4 exons. Lineage: Eukaryota; Metazoa; Chordata; Mammalia; Carnivora; Felidae. The record is from RefSeq and is a predicted model, not a curated record.
CUCCCCCAGGGGCACGCAGCCGGGAACUGGGGGGCCCAGGUUCCACCCAGGCUGGCGCCCCCACACUCUGGACCACAUCGUCUGGCAGCUUCCCUCAGUGGGUGUUAGCAUUAUCCAAUUUUACCGGUGAGAGAGAGGAUUUCCAUUACUAAGUGAUGGACCCAGGGGGAGCCCAGAGUCACAGCCUCCUCUCUCCAAGGCCCCGAGCUUCCUGCAGAAGCUGGCGUGGGGGAGGGGAGGGAGGGGGCAGCAGUCCCCUGCAAGUGGCCAGGUGGGCCGCUGAGAUAAGAACUACCAGGCGGCCUCAACCACCAACCCCCCCACCCACACACACACCGCAUCCCCCCAGGGCUUGGAUCUCCUGCCGCCAGCUCGGACAGAGGCCAGGCUGGAGAGGAGCGAAGGGCGCACACGUGGGCGCAAGUGCGGGCCACUCUUUGGAAAAGUCUGGCUACAAAGAUGAACAUCGCGUCCAGAAUGCACCGGAACUGGACGCAUCCGCGGUCCCCUCUGCAGCAGCCACAGGUUGGUUUAUGGCCACCCCGCAUCUGUUCACCCCAGGACUGAAACAGGCCUAGAUCUGCACAGCGAUUCAGGGCGAGCACAGAGUCAAACAGGCCCGGUCUCAGCUGCUCCAGGGGUUCGGCCUGGCUGACCUGGGAGAUGACCCCCCCCUCUUUCCUGAUAGAUUUGAACCUGAGAAUAAAGCCAACAUCCUGCCUUACACAGAGGCUGGGACUAAUAACAGGCACACGGACUGUGCAUUUGCUCCCUGCCAGGCACCCUGCAUGCGUGAAUCUCAUCCAUCCCAAAAACGCACAAGCGAGGCCCUGCCUCUCCCCGCUCUAGCCGCCGAGGGAUUGAGCCCCUUGCACGGAUCACACGGCUGGCGAAUGAGGUGCCAGAGUUCACAUCCAGCUGUGUGAUUCCAAGUCCUCGCUCUUAACACCAGACCACCCUGCCAGAGGCUGACAGCAGUGAGCAGACCAAGCCACGGAAGGAGGAGGAACCAACACUGACUGAGACCUGAGUCACAGCAGGCCUGAGCCUUGACAGCCUUGGCCAGGGUCAGAGUUCCAUAGGAAACAUCUCAGUAUCUUCCCCCAAGAACAUCAAAGUCCCCGGCACAUCCCACACUCUGGCUCUCCAAGCACUGAAUUGAACAGACAGCAAAGGCAGGAAGUUGGGUGAAGAAAGCCUUUGCCAGGGCAGCUGGGUGGCUCAGUCCAUUGAGCAUCCGACUUCAGCUCAGGUCAUGAUCUCGCGGCUCUCGAGUUCGAGCCCCGUAUCCGGCUCGGAGCUGUCAGCACAGAGCCCGGGGCCGGCUUCAGAUUGUGUCUCCCUCUCUCUCUACCCCUCCCCCGCUCGCACUGUGUCUCCUUCUCAAAAAUAAGUAAACAUUAAAUAAACAUAUAAAGCCUUUGCCUACCCCCUUGGCUUGCCCCCUCCAGCAGACACAUGACACUGGAGGCACAGCCCUUCCCUCCACUGGAUCUCUCAGUACACCCCUACCACCACCCAGACUUGAAUCCAAAUGCCAGUCCAAAAGUCACGGCCCU